UUACUCUGGUUUCUCUUCAUAACGCACAAGUCUUUCGCCUUUUACUAAAGACUUCCGUGGAGAGUGACUCCAACGAGUUUAGCCUAUUUUUGGCAGGCUUUGCUCUCUGGCAGAGCCG
This is a small nuclear RNA of 118 nucleotides. Its record names the gene U5. It matches the Rfam family "U5 spliceosomal RNA". Rfam says of the family: U5 RNA is a component of both types of known spliceosome. The record is from Ensembl.